Molecule: long non-coding RNA, 290 nt
Organism: Canis lupus familiaris (dog)
Lineage: Eukaryota; Metazoa; Chordata; Mammalia; Carnivora; Canidae
Exons: 3
Source: RefSeq, a predicted model, not a curated record
GAAGGAUACAGUUCCCAUCCUCCAGUGCAGUUUUUGGAGCCAUGUUAUUGAGUCUGUCCACCGGGAUGUGAGUGAAAGGAGAAGUAUCAGCAGCAAAAUGUGGCAGAAAGUGUGUCACACAGACCUGGGUUCAAGUCCUGACUUGGCCACUGCAUCAUGCGAGGGUGAAAACACCAAAGAUGGAAAGAAUGGAGAAGAAAAGACAGAAAACAGACUUUUGGUCAUAAUGUUGAGCCACUGGAGUGAUCUUUACAGAAAGCCUGCUCUACCUCUGAACUUUUGGAUAUGAC